Molecule: ribosomal RNA, 756 nt
Filed under: Longidorus juvenilis
Lineage: Eukaryota; Metazoa; Nematoda; Enoplea; Dorylaimida; Longidoridae
Description: eukaryotic LSU rRNA
Rfam family: Eukaryotic large subunit ribosomal RNA
Source: RNAcentral
ACUUUGAAGAGAGAGUUCAAAAGGGCGUGAAACCGCUUAGAAUAAAACGGACGGAGCCGUCGGUGGCCUUCCGGAAUCAGUCGUACGGCGCGCGAUGGCGCGUUUCGCCCGAGCGAAAGUCGGGCGGGCGCGUUGGGAAAUAGUAGCGUUCGUUCGAUGCAUUUCCGGAGGGUAUGCGCCGCGACCGAUGCGAGUGGCUAGCGAAUCCGGCGAUUUGAGGUGGAAUCCCCUCGCGGGGUCUUCAUUACCAGUUCGUCGGCUUAUAAAUCGUUAGACCGUAAGCAUCGAGCGCGAAAUAUAUAUAUCGAACACUGGCAUCAGUGCUCGCUUAAGCGGCGGAUAGUCGGCGGAAUAUGCCGUACCUGCUCGCAGGUUACGCGUAUCCCCGUUCGGCGUUUGAAGCCGCGGGCGAGUGUAUAGUGUUCCGGCGUCAGCGGCGUCCGAGACGGUCAACCGUCCGACCCGUCUUGAAACACGGACCAAGGAGUCUAACGUACGCGCGAGCUAAUGAGUGGAAAACUCAUAAGCGCAAUAAAAGUAAAAGGUACGAUCCCGGGGUAUUUAACGUAUUUACCCCGGGCGCAGUACCAUCCCAUCCUGAUCGCUCGUCGAUAGGGUGGAGAUCGAGUGCGUACGUUGGGACCCGAAAGAUGGUGAACUAUGCCUGAGCAGAGCGAAGCCAGAGGAAACUCUGGUGGAGGUUCGUAGCGGUUCUGACGUGCAAAUCGAUCGUCAGACUUGGGUAUAGGGGCGAAA